GGCGUGCUUAACACAUGCAAGUCGAACGGAAAGGCCCUGCUUUUGUGGGGUGCUCGAGUGGCGAACGGGUGAGUAACACGCGAGUAACCUGCCCUUGACUUUGGGAUAACUUCAGGAAACUGGGGCUAAUACCGGAUAGGAGCUCCUGCUGCAUGGUGGGGGUUGGAAAGUUUCGGCGGUUGGGGAUGGACUCGCGGCUUAUCAGCUUGUUGGUGGGGUAGUGGCUUACCAAGGCUUUGACGGGUAGCCGGCCUGAGAGGGUGACCGGCCACAUUGGGACUGAGAUACGGCCCAGACUCCUACGGGAGGCAGCAGUGGGGAAUAUUGCACAAUGGGCGGAAGCCUGAUGCAGCAACGCCGCGUGCGGGAUGACGGCCUUCGGGUUGUAAACCGCUUUCGCCUGUGACGAAGCGUGAGUGACGGUAAUGGGUAAAGAAGCACCGGCUAACUACGUGCCAGCAGCCGCGGUGAUACGUAGGGUGCGAGCGUUGUCCGGAUUUAUUGGGCGUAAAGGGCUCGUAGGUGGUUGAUCGCGUCGGAAGUGUAAUCUUGGGGCUUAACCCUGAGCGUGCUUUCGAUACGGGUUGACUUGAGGAAGGUAGGGGAGAAUGGAAUUCCUGGUGGAGCGGUGGAAUGCGCAGAUAUCAGGAGGAACACCAGUGGCGAAGGCGGUUCUCUGGGCCUUUCCUGACGCUGAGGAGCGAAAGCGUGGGGAGCGAACAGGCUUAGAUACCCUGGUAGUCCACGCUGUAAACGGUGGGUACUAGGUGUGGGGUCCAUUCCACGGGUUCCGUGCCGUAGCUAACGCUUUAAGUACCCCGCCUGGGGAGUACGGCCGCAAGGCUAAAACUCAAAGGAAUUGACGGGGCCCCGCACAAGCGGCGGAGCAUGCGGAUUAAUUCGAUGCAACGCGUAGAACCUUACCUGGGUUUGACAUGGAUCGGGAGUGCUCAGAGAUGGGUGUGCCUCUUUUGGGGUCGGUUCACAGGUGGUGCAUGGCUGUCGUCAGCUCGUGUCGUGAGAUGUUGGGUUAAGUCCCGCAACGAGCGCAACCCUUGUUCACUGUUGCCAGCACGUUAUGGUGGGGACUCAGUGGAGACCGCCGGGGUCAACUCGGAGGAAGGUGGGGAUGACGUCAAGUCAUCAUGCCCCUUAUGUCCAGGGCUUCACGCAUGCUACAAUGGCUGGUACAGAGAGUGGCGAGCCUGUGAGGGUGAGCGAAUCUCGGAAAGCCGGUCUCAGUUCGGAUUGGGGUCUGCAACUCGACCUCACGAAGUCGGAGUCGCUAGUAAUCGCAGAUCAGCAACGCUGCGGUGAAUACGUUCCCGGGGCUUGUACACACCGCCCGUCAAGUCAUGAAAGUUGGUAACACCCGAAGCCGGUGGCCUAACCGUUGUGGGGGAGCCGUCGAAGGUGGGACUGGUGAUUAGGACUA
RNAcentral lists this ribosomal RNA (1435 nucleotides) under uncultured organism. RNAcentral's name for it is "16S ribosomal RNA". It matches the Rfam family "Bacterial small subunit ribosomal RNA". The record is from RNAcentral.